Dipodomys spectabilis (banner-tailed kangaroo rat) is the source of this 462-nucleotide long non-coding RNA. RefSeq lists it as uncharacterized. The record is from RefSeq and is a predicted model, not a curated record. The transcript has 3 exons. NCBI's taxonomy places the organism in Eukaryota, Metazoa, Chordata, Mammalia, Rodentia, Heteromyidae.
GAAAGUUAUUGGCAAUACUCCCAGCUAGGGUGCAUUGUCCAGUGAGUUAUCAAAUCUCUGUGCUGCAUUUACUGAACAGAAACAAAAUUACAAAGUCAGAAUUCACACUGUAGUCCUUGCUUUAACUGCUUUCUUUAAAAAGCCUAACAUCAAGAAAACAGCCACUCUUUUACUAACUUUUUAAAAUUUUUGGUGUUUAAAUUAUGGGCUUAACAUUAUCUUAAGACCAAUUAGUUUUUCUGAAAGCAGAUAAUACUUACUCCAGAAUGUAUAUCGUCAUCCCUUUGCUCCCCAAAGUCUAGUAUCUCACACAGGUUCAGAUAGUACCCAUGCAGAGAGACAUGUACAGAAUAACAUAGUGGCAAUAAAUUACAAUUCUGCCAUUGUAUUAGAAGGCCUCAGAGCCUCCAGGCUUCUCAAUUGAAAUUAGAGAUGUUUAUUCCCAACACCAUGAGGAAGGGU